Molecule: long non-coding RNA, 12505 nt
Filed under: Marmota monax (woodchuck)
Lineage: Eukaryota; Metazoa; Chordata; Mammalia; Rodentia; Sciuridae
Source: RNAcentral
GGGAGUGUGAACAAUGGGUGGCUCUGGAGUUUUGGAGGAUGGCUUUCUCAUUUGGGCUGGUGAGUUUGUUCCCUUUAGCAGAGUGCUAAGGGCUGGCGAUGGUUUAGCUACACUCACAUGUUUUAAACCUGUUGCUUUACGCUCGGCUAAGUGCCUGUCAUGUGUGUUGGUUGCCAGUACAAGAGCUUGCUCAUUUAGAAAAGCAGGGGACCCAAUUUCCUUUGAGAUAGCAGCUGGUAAUAUUCCACUGGAUGCUAGUGAGAGGCCACAUGGCUGGGGGAUGCUGCCUGGGUGCGUUCUCCUUCACUGGCUCCCCAAAGUGGGAGAGUGGCUUGCUUCUCACAUGAGACUCCUUGGCCCUGCUGUUCUGAUGCACUUCUUCUCUUCAUUUCUUCAUCUGGUUUUUCAUUCUGUUUUCUUCCCAGAAUAACUAGUUACCAAGUCUAAUGAAUCUUUCCUUCCCCCAAAUUUCUUUAUUCUACCCUGUUUCUUUCCCCCAUUCUCUGAGUUUGAGUUCAUCUUUUUGUUUUUGUUACUGGGAGUUGAACCCAGGGGUGCUUUACCACUGAGCUUCACCUGGCCCUUAUUAUUAUUAUUAUUAUUUUAUAUUUUGAGACAGGCCCUUGUUAAAUUGCCCAGGCUGGUUUCGAACUUGUAAUUCUCCUGACUCAGCCUCCUGACUUGCUGGCAUUAUAGGCAUACAUCACUGUGCCCAGUUGAGUUCUUUUUUUUUUUUUUUUUUCAUUUUUGGGGUACUAGGAAUUGAACUCAGGGGCACUCAGCCACUGAGCCACAUCCCCAGCCCUAUUUUUUAUUUUAUUUAGAGACAGCGUCUCACUGAGUUGCUUAGCACCUCGUUUUUUGCUGAGGCUGGCUGUGAACUCGCGAUCCUUCCACCUCAGUCUGUUGAGCUGCUGGGAUUACAGGUGUAUGCCACUGCACCCAGCGAGUUCUUCUUUUCUUACUCUUCCUAAUAACUUCCUGCUUUUUUUUCAGUCUCACACAUUUCUGAUCCAUCAUAAGUAAAUGCUAAAAUAAUCUUCCUUGAAGUUUUGCUUAAUUGAAUUGUAUGUCCUUAAGCAGGAAGAGGUGGAGCACGUGGUGAUCCCAGCAACUUGGGAGUCUGAGGCUGGGGAACCGCAAACUCCAGACCAGCCUGGGUGAUGCAGGCAACACAGCGAAAGCCUGUCUUAAAAACAAACAAAAAUUAAAAAGAAAAAAAAGCCUGAAUUGUGCUUCCUUGCACAAAUAUCUUCAGUGACUCCUGUGACCUAACAGAUUUUGCUCAAAUUUCACAUUCUGGCAUUGAAAGUUUUCCUCAGUUUGGUCCUGGUGACUUCGCAGCCUCACUUGAACCUUGUCUUCAGGAAGAUGGGCCCAUUAUCCUUGUCACAACGUGCCCUUUUUCCUCUGGAUCACCAUCAAAAUCCCUACUGUAUUCCAAAUCACUUUGGGAAAAUAAUGACCACCUUUGAAUUGGAUUCACAGAAUGUAAGAAUUAAAAUGCAUCUUGGAGGAUAUCAAGCUCAACUUUCACCUGUAACAUACCCUUUAACCUUUGAACCUGUCCAAAGGGGAGCAACUUGGAAGCUCAUUACAUGUUCAGAUAGUUAUUAUCCAUAAGAAUCCCCACCCCCUCCAAUUCCUGUCUCUUUUAGCUCAUUUGUCUUUGGUCUAUCUUCAAGAACAACACAAAUUUUUUUUCUUUUAUAUUAAAAUCCCUACCAUAUUCCAAGGUUAAAUUGGACACCCCUCUUCUUCCAUAAAUACUUUUUUUUUUUUAAACCACUUUGGGAAAAAAAAAUUUGAUAAAUUUUACCAUUUCUGUUUUGACUGAUCCAAAUAUAACACAGACUAUUGAAUUAUUUCUUAUACUGAAAUGGUUUCUAAAUCAUUCUCUAUCUUGGCUAAUUUAUCUGGAAGUGCUAUAGAAGGUUAAUAAUAAUGUUGAAAACUUGUCCAGGAAAAACACAACUUUCCUGAUCCAUAGUAUUCAUUCCAAAAAAACUUGGGAUGUUUGUACCACUUAUUUGGCUCAUUAUGCACUGACAUAUAUAUUUAUAAUGUUUUUUUUGGUCAGAGAGGAAGGAGGGACAAUUCCCUGGGCCUCUGUGUUUCCACUUAUGAGACAAAUGAUCAACACCUGGUAAGCAGAGACUCUGACCUGCAAAAUGUCCUUCAAAGAAAGUGCUGCACCUAGUAAGCAAUCCAUAAUUUGAUCUGAAAAGUUAAUCUCAGAUGNAAAGGUUUAAUGGGGGAAGUUUAAGAUUGAUCAGGAAAAAAAUCUGUCAUCAUAUCUUGGUGCAUAUAACUGGAGUCAUAAAAUAGAAGAAACAACCACAAGCAAAACAAACAAACAAAAAAUGGUACUUUGGUACUUUUAAGUUCACUGUGAGCCCGUAAACCACUGUGGGCCUCGUAGUACAUGCUUGGAAUCCUAAUCACUUUGGAGGAUGAGGCAGGAGGAUUGCAAAUUUGAGCCAGCCUGGAUAACUUAGUGAGACCUUGUCUCAAAGUAAAAUAAAAACAGUUGGGUAUGAAGUUUAGUAGUAGAGCAAUUGCCUGGCUUGUGUGAGGCCCCAGGUCCAAUAUCCACUACUACUACUAAGGAAAAGUUCAUUCAUUAUCACAUUAACUAAACACCAGAAAAAUGACAUACAUAGACAGAACCAAUCAGUGAAGUUAUGUUUACUGAGCAUCUAGUAUGGGCAUGGCUCUGUGUUGGAGCCUUAGUGAUCCUAUAUCUCGAUUUACUCCUGGUUUAUGUGUAUUGUCCCAGCAUUUUCUGGUCUGGGACAAUCUAUUGAGUUAUCACCACAGGAGGAUGCAAAACAUUCCAAUUCAAUCUAAGAAAGAAGGUUGUUCUUGACAUUGGGUUAGAUGAGAUUGACAGACAGCUGUCAUGCAUGGAUACAUUUAGGGUUUUCAUGAGAAAAUUUACCCAAGGAAAUUUCUGGGGAAAAGAAAAAACUAAAACCCUAAGUAGACUGAAGAAAUCUCUAAAUGGGAGACCUGAUGGCUGAAAGAAAUCUAAGAUGAUAUAAUCUUUAAGAUGUGGAUGUCUCUUCUUUACUGGGUUUGAAAUACCUACUAGGAGAAUUAUCCCUGGGGUUUCCAUAGAAGAGAGGAGGAGAGGGGCCAAGGCUGCCAUAGAAAGGCCACUGUUAAACAGCACUGUGGCCAGAAAAGGAAUGGCUGCCCACCUCCUCUCUCUUGGAAAGCCCUUUUCUCUUUGGCUCUUGAGCACCAAUACCUGCCAAGUUUGGAAGCUCUUGCUUUUCACUUUGGUGGGGGAUAGAAAAGAUAGGAUGCCAUAGAUCCUGGGAGAUUUGAUCCCACCUCCAGUAUGAGUCAGGUUAGCCCAGUAUCCCUGGAAGGGCUGAGAAAUUGUAACAAGAGAGGUGGCCCAGAGAGCAUGACCAAAACAAAAAAUCUAGAGAUAUGUAUAGGAUUCUUCUUCCAUGAUUCCAAAGGAGCUGCCAUUCAUGAUGGAAAUAUAGAGAGAAACUGUUUGUGAUGUACAGGAGGCAGCAUCUCCCAGGGGCAGGUGGUCCAGAGGAGUGUCAGAACAGUGUGGAGACCAGGAGGGAGCUAUACCAGGGGUUUGAGUGUGAAAUCAGGGGAGAGGGAGAUAGAGGUCAAAUAAGGAUCUCUGCUGUGUGUGAUCUGUAAAAAUACCUUUCCUGAUUGCGGGAGUUGCUUAGGCUUUACCAGCUUCUCCCAAGAGUGAGCCCUCUGGCAAGGGUGUAUGGUUCUUAUUCAACAGAAUCAAAAUUAUGGAUGUGAUUAAUAAAAUGAAGGUCAUCAAAGCGUUACUCAAGUCAUAAUAACAUGGUGUAUAUAUACACAUAUACAAUUUAUCUAUCAGUAGAGAAAUAAUAAGAGAAGGGCUACUUUUAUGUGUGAGUAUGAGAUAGAAACAGAGGGAGGGGAAUAUGGGUCUAGGAGCAGCCUCAAUUCUGUGUUUUCCUUCUUUAUUUCUGUUUUAGCCAACUUCCAUUGCUGCUGUGACUAAAAGAUCUGACCAGAACAGUUUCAGGGGAAGAAAAGUUUAUUUAAGGACUCACAGUUUCAAAGAUCUCAGUCCAUAGGCAGUCUGCUCCAUUCAUUCCUCAGGGCUCCAGGUGAGGCAGGACAUUGUAACAGAAGAGUGUGGUGGAGGGAAGCAGCUCAUAUGAUGAUCACAAAGCGGAGAGAGAGAGACUCCACUCUCCAGAUACAAAAUAUAUACCCCAUAGCCAUGACCCCAAUGCCCAUCUCCUCAGCCACAACCUACUUGCCUCUAGUUACCACCCAGUUAAUCCCAUCAGGGAUUAAUUCACUGAUUAAGUGAAGAUUAUAACUCAAUGGUUUCUUCUCCAAAGCUUCUUGCAUUGUCUCACACAUGAGAUUUUAGGGAACACCUCAUCUAAACCAUAACACCUUCCUUCUUUCCUUUAGCUGCUUUACCAGAGAUUGAGCCCAGGGGCCCUUAACCCACGAAUCACAUUCCCAGGCAUUGUAAUUUUAAAUUUGAGAAUAGGUGUUGCUAAGGUUGCUGAGGCUGGCUUUGGACUUGAGAUCCUCCUGCUUCAGCCUGUUGAGUUGCUGGAAUUAUAAGAAUCCAUCUUGAGUUAAUUCUUUUAAUUUUUUUCCAUGUUUUUACUGUCUCAUAUAUUAACAUAUAGUAUUAAACUUGUUUAAUGUCAUAAAAUUUUCACUUUAUGCAUAUUUAUUGAGGUGUAAUUGACAGAUAAAAAUUGUAUGUAUUUACAGUAUGCAAUUUGAUGUUUUGAUAUAAUAAUUUUCCCAUUUUAUAAAGCCUCUGAAUUCUGGAGACCUAAUGUAUAGUAUGAUGACUAUGGCUAAUAAUACUCUAUUGUAUACUUGGGAUUUGCUAAGAGAAUGGACUUUAGGUGUUCUCACAGCUGUACGCACACACACAUAUUUAAAAUUAAAAACACAACUAAAGAAGCUGGGCAUGGUGGUGCACGCCUGUAAUCCCAGCUACUUGGUAGGCCAAAGUAGGACAAGGGCAAGAUUGAGGCCAGCCUCAGCCAUUCAGCAAAGCCCUCAUCAGCUUAGUGAGACCUUGUCUCAAAAUAAAAACAAUUAAAAGGCCUGAGGUGGUAGCACAGUGGUUAAAUGCCCCUGGGCUGAGUCCCCUGUGUCAAAAACAAACAAACAAGCAAACAAACAAACAACAUACAAAUAAACCUGAAGGCUAUUGCUGAGAUGGGAAUUUUCACAUAUGGUUUUUCUGUGACACUAUAAGGAAAAAACAGCAGACACAUGCUUUGGGCAUGUUUUGGAUGUUUUCUUUGAGGUGACAACAUUAAAAAUAUAGAUGGGCAAAAGAAAACUGACUUACCGCUAAAGGAAUCCUGUUCAUUUCUGUGGGGAUUAAUGGAUAAUGGCUGUGAUCUCUCAGAGCCAUCUUCUUUCCUGGCCUCUCUAGUUCAGCUAAGCUCAGUUACCAGUUACUCUUUUAAUACUUUUUGUUCAUGGUUAAUAUUUAAGGGUUGUAGUGUGUAUGUGUGUGUAUUUUGGCUUCUUCUGUUUAAUAUAUUAUUUAUUUCUCCAUGUCUUUUAAAUUUCAUUUAAAAUCACUCUUUCUCCAUAUUUCUUCUGCAUGCCUAUAGAUGUGAGUAUAUACAAUGAUGUAAAUUGAUAUUCUAUGGUUCAUUUUGUUGUUUUGUGGGCAAUUUCUAAGUUUUCACCAUUAGAAUAUAUAGCUAGGAUGGUGGAAGGAGAGGGUCAUCAUUAUACAAAAUACAUGUAUGAAGAUGUGAAUUUGGUGUCAACAUACCUUAUAUACAAACAGAGAUACGAUAAAUAGUGAUAUAAAGGUGUAUUAAGAAUUGUAUGCAAGAAAAAAGAGAGCUCAUGUAUAAUGGCAUAAUUUGGUGUGAACAUACUUUAUAUACAGAGUUACAAAAAACUGUGCUGUGAAUGGAUAGUUAUGAAUAUAAUUCACUCCACUAUUGUCAUGUAUGUAAGAAAAAAAGAAAAAAGGUAAAAAAAAAAAAAAAGAAAAGAAAAGAAAUACUGGUUUGAAUCUGGGUGCUGUGGCGCACACCUGCAAUCCCAGCAGCUUGUUAGGCUGAGGCAGGAGGAUCAUGAGUUCAAAGCCAGCCUCAGCAACUUAAAGAGGCCCUAAACAACUUAAGGAGAAUUUUAAUAUUCAUUUUUUAAUAUUCAUUUUUUAGUUUUCCGCAGACACAACCUCUUUGUUUGUAUGUGGUGCUGAGGAUCAAACCCGGGCCGCACGCAUGCCAGGCGAGCGCGCUACCGCUUGAGCCACAUCCCCAGCCCCAACUUAAGGAGAGAGUGUCUCAAAAUUAAUAAAUAAAUAAGAGGGCUGGCGAUGUGGCUCAGUGGUUAAGCAUGCUAUGUUCAAUCCCUGGUGCCAGAAAACAAGAAGUUGUCGUCUCAAUUAGAGAGCCUUCUGUAGAUUCUUCACAUAUCCUGGCCUUCACCAUGGAGUCUUAGGCUAAGAGUUCACAUUUGUUGGACACUCACCUUGUGUGAAGUCAAACAUUGUCAAAGACUUGAUGUUCAUUACAGCAUCAUUUGAGGUAGCGACUAAUGUAGUCUUCAGUUUUACACAUCAGGAAACUGAGGCUCAGAAGAAUAAGAACAAAGUGUUGGUACAGUUAGGCAACUGGUAAGUGAAAGAGCCAGGAUUCAAUUGUAGAGUCCUGUGUUUCCAGAGCCCAAGCUAUGUCACAAUCUGCCUUUCUUCAUUUCCUCCAAUUUAUUUCCUGAGUGUAAAAUGUAUUUUGCAUGAAGUUAGACAGGCCUGAAGAGCAAAACCUCUUUAAAGAGGGUAGUUAAAGGUCUGGGAUUCAGAAGGUCAAGGAAGCAGAAGGCUGAGUCUUUUCUUUUUUUUUGGUGAAGGGAGGACUGAACCCAGGGGCACUCAACCACUGAGCCACAUCUCCAGCCUUUUUUAUGUUUUAUUUAGAGACAGGGUCUUGUCAAGUUGCUUAGGGCCUCUUUAAGUUGCUGAGGCUGGCUUUGAUCUCAUGAUACUCCUGCCUCAGCCUCCCAAGCUGCUAGAAUUAUAGGUGUGUGCUAUCUGUAAGGCUGUGUCUUGAAGGAAGCAGAAGGGCCUGAGAAACUGGACUGAUGCUGGGGUGUGUGCACGCACACACAUGGCAGUGGGUGAAAACACUGGGUGAACCGGAGGAUCCUUCCAGUCUGAGUCUGGGAUUCUAAGAAGUUCAGGAGAUCAGAGCAGAGAGCUCAGGUGGAAAAGUAAGUGGUAAGAUUGCAUCAGAUUUGAGUCUCACUUUAAAGAAUCUAGAUGUGAUAUUAAUGGGCGAUGGAGGGCCCUUAACACCUUCAGAAGGUGUGGUAGACUGUUGAUUUGGUGCCCCCACUCCUUGUGAAGCGUGCCUCCUGCUCUUCCUGCCCUUGAGUACUUCCCUCCCACAUUGAUUGAAGCCUAGUAAUUCAACUAGCUUUAGCCAAUGUGGCAUUAGCAGGCAUAAUGCAAGCGAAAGUGUGAUAAGUGUGAUUGCAUCCAUUCUGUCCAUAGGUUCUUUUCUAGAAUCCAGCUGUCAACUCUGAAGAGGUCAAGUAGUCACAUGGAAAGGCCUAUGGAGGAGCACUGAGGUCCAGCUGACACCCCAGCUGAUUCCAGCUGGCACUCGUCACACUCCAUGUGAAUGGGGCCAUUUUGGACUCCAGCCAUCCCAGGACUGUGGUCAUCACAGCAGGAAGCAGACCCCCCUCCCACCAGCCAACCUCAGAAUUGUAAGAACAAAUAAAUUGUUGUUGUUUUAAUCCACUACAUUUUAGGGCAGUUUGUGAUGUAGUAACAGAUCAUUUCAACAGUCCAAGGUGAUCUUUUUCACUCCCUCUUCCCUGCACCCCCGCUUCCUUACAGCAAGUAUUAUAAGAAACUAUGAUGAGGUCUGUGGAUGGUGCAAAGAUAAAGAAAUCUUCCAGGUCUUUGUCCUAAGGGAUAGUGAUACUUCCUGCCCCUUUGGCUCCGCAUUCCAUUGUUCUCGCCUUUAGAUUUUCAUUUCCAGCAGGCUAUCCACAGUCCCCAAACAGAAUUCACUUUCUUGCACUUUAGAAUGCUGCUCACCCUUCUUUCUCUGUUUUGGUAGCUAGUAUAGCCACAUGCUCAGUUGCCUAAGUUAGAAAUGUCAGGUUCAUUUCCAUUCUGUCUCCUCACUCUCCAUACUGUCCACUUACCACGGCAUUGCUACCGACCUGGAACUGGCUGCUGUGGAGAGCUGAGGGCCUGGAGGCCAGGAGAUCUGGGAUAUGGAGGCCGUAGUCCUGAGAUCACUGCAGUUGCCAUGCUGAGCUCUUAAAAAGAGGGCGUAGCUAGGCCUCUCAGGUGGAAAGACCUCUCUGUAGGCAGUUUUCCCUGCAGAGCAAAUGGGUUAUAGUUUUCAGUUUCUUCAUCUCAAUUCCAGUCUUCAUAUCCCCAAAAAAUAUUUAAAAAGAGUUGGGGACAUGGCUCAGGGGUAGAGUCUAGCAUGUGCAAAGCCCUAGGUUUCAUCCCCAGCACUGAAAAAUAAAAAAAGUUUUCCCCAGAAGGUGUUUAAAACCUCAAAAGAAUUUGAAUCAACUAUACUAUAUUUUAUGUAUGUUAUAGCCAGAGAGAAGUAUGCUGCAACUUUUUAAGCCAGGUAAUAGGGUUGCAUUGCCACCUACUUGGUAUACAGUAACAGCACAGAAGUUGGAACAUUCUUAGUUUUCCUUUUUUCCACAUUCCAAAGACAACCGAUCUUUUCUUCUUUGGUCCUAGAAAAGGAAUUAAGAGACGUGUGCUCAGAGCUGUUGGUCUUUGCAGCAUCUUAGUGCCUGUUGGAAGUCUUGGUGGCGGUAGGCAGGUGGACGCCAGGUGGGUGGACUCCCACCUGAGCAGAUUGCUUGGCUGAGAGGGUGCAGGAUGGAUUUAGUCAUCACUUGUCUCUUUGGCCAACUGCCUUUGUACAGUGCAAAAGAUGUAGAACUGCUCCUAUUCUCUCUCCCUGGUUUCUAGUAUGACUCUGCCACCAGCAAGUUCUGUGAGUUCAUGUCUCUGGCUCUGGUUCCAGUUUCCUUCAUCAUGAAGGAAAGAAUCCUGCAUCUAGGGCCAGGAUACCUGAGUUGGAGUCUUACCUCCUUUUCUUCAUCACAACAUGAAUGUGACCAAGUCCUUAAUCUUUGUAGAUGCUAAUUUUCUGGUUUGGAAAAUGGGGGUGGGUAAAUAAGACAAUCUCCUUCCAGAUUAAAAAAAAUCUCGAAUACUAACAUGUUGCAGAAAUCCAGGAAUGGAUUGAGAAUCUUUAGCUUUCACGAUGGACUUGCUUUUAAUACUCUGCCUCCAUCUUCCUCCCCUUAUUGCAACCCAGUCAAUUAGUCAAUUUCUCUGCAUUUUAGUUUUGCUCUAUUUGUCAAAUGGAGAUAAUAAGAGAUGCCUUAGAGGGAUUCAGGGAGGAUAAACUAAUUAAUGAUCAUAAAGUCCCAGUGGCCACGCGCCUGCUAAGUGGUCAUGAUUUUAAACAGAUCUUUAGAGCUCCUCAGCUGCUCACAGGAGAGUCAGACAGCAUCAUUUAUAACCUGAUGUUCUUUCUUUUUCUUUUUCUUUUUUUUUAAUAUAUCAAAAAAGACUCUCAGAGGCAUUGGGAGGAAACAUCAGAAGAAGCAAAGACCAAAAUAUUGCCUGGGAAGUGGAUGGGGAAGGGUAGAAGGUGUGAGUUGAGGGGGCGCAAGGUGUUGCUGUUGUGUUGAGAUCUCUGGGCGCGAGUUCCUGGAGAGUUCUCUGGAGGUUUCUCUGGCUGGGGAGAUUGGGUGGCAGCAGAAGAGGUGUGGCUCUGGGAUGGGCAGAAGCCUUUUUUCUGGCUUUGUUCUUGUAGGUGUGGUUGGCUUGAAGUUCCAGGUUCACUCUCCUUCCUUACCUUUGCCAGGUAGGAUGGGAAGGCAAGAAAGCCGCGAUAAGGAAGGCAGAAUCCCCUUCCUGAGGAGUUCGUCUCACAUGGCAAUAAACAUCCUCUCCAACUCACUCCAUAUAUCAGUUUAAUAGUUUGCUUGUAGAUCUAAAUUAUGUUCUGGGUAGUUCAACAUGUAAGAAACCAGAGAAGGCAUUUUAGAAUAGAAUAUAAAUAGAACCCGUUGCCUAUUUUUAGCUUUUGAUUCUUCUUUGAAGCCUUUAAAUAGAAAUUAAUUCCUUCUUCCUAACAUUUCUACAUUGUUUUUUGGUCUGUCCUAUAUUAGAAGUAUUUACUUCUAAUAUAGGUAUUUACGUAAUAGGUAUUUACAUAACCACCCUAAUAAAGUGGUAAGUUUCUUGAGGGUAGAGAACAUACAUUAUCAUCUGCAGCUUCAUCCUUACAAGGUCUAGGCACCACUUUGGAAAUAGAUGAUUUUUAUUUAUUUAUUUAUUUUUAAAAUUUUUUUAAAGAGAGAGAGAGGUUUUUUUAUUAUUAUUUAUUUUUUAGUUUUUGGUGGACACAACAUCUUUGUUUGUAUGUGGUGCUGAGGAUCGAACCUGGGCCGCACGAAUGCCAGGCGAGCGCGCUACCGCUUGAGCCACAUCCCCAGCCCCAAUAGGUGAUUUUUAAAUAGCUACUUACAAACUGAGUUGUGGCCAGGUGUGAUGGCACAGGCUUGCAAUCCCAGCGAUCUGGGAGGCCGUGGCAGGAAGAUCUCAAGUUCAAGGCUAGUCUCUCAGCAAUUUAGUGAGACUUCGUCUCAAAACAAAAAAUAAAAAGGGCCACUGGGGUGUAGCUUAGUGGUAAAGUGCCCCUGGGUUCAGUCCCCAAUUUGGUGGUGGUGGGGCAGUGUGGAAUUGUGUUACCUUAUCUGAAGGAAUAAUUGAAUAACAGAAUUUCAAGAUUUUUUAUUCUCCUGUGUUUACCAUUCAGGUAAAUCUCACAUUUUUUAAUUUUUAUUUUUGGUUGGUUUGUCUUAAUUUUCUUGGUUUAAUAGUUUCUGUGAGGUCAUAAUUCUCCUUUUGACAUAAUGACAUGGGGUUAGUAUGUUGAUAAUUGAGUUACAUCCCCUUAGAAAGCAGAAGGCAAUGACCAAAGAGGAAAAAUGAAAUGAAAUUAAUUUUUGUUUGGCACAGGGGAAUGACUAGGUAUAUUUAGAAUGGAAGAUGAUGGGUAAUGUGGCAGAGGUAGCAGAAAAAUUAGCUCUACAAGUUGAUCCUUGGGCAGUUUGAUUUCAGUUAUGUCCCCUCUCCAUCCAAUGGGUCCUCUCUGUGAGUCCCUUUUUACGGAGCAGCUGAAGUCCUUGCCAAUCUUAUAUCACCAAGAACAUUAAAUAAACAGUGACUCUGUCUUAUGAUUUGGCUGAACUUUGGAUAAUGAUGUCUGUUGUCAGCAGAUCCUUUUGCUGUGAUUCUUACCAUAAAAUUUGCUAAGAAAUAUUUACCUUUGCACUCAGUUUAUCCAGACAGCAGAGGUAUAUGAUUGUAUUUUCUUGUUCUUUACAGGAAAAAGAAGAGUUUACUGAUCCCUGAGUCAUAUGAUUUCAUCUUAAAGAGGGAAAAUAGAAGCAAAGAACUAAAGUGUUCUAGAUCUGCCUUUGCCUAAAGAAAUUGUCUGGUUCUGUCUCUGAUUUUACACAUGUGGAUAUCAUGGCUCAAGAGCUUGAAUAAUAUGUGAAGCAACAAGAUGGAGUUGAGAGCCCAGAUAUUAUAUUAUGGGGUAUUAUGUUCUCUCUCCCCAGCCCACCUCCCCUUGUUAUAUUGUCUGGUUUAAAUUUAUAGAAGUGAUCAUUUUUGUUUGAACAUAUAUUUUGUUUCAUUCAGUGUAUCAUAAACAAUUUGAUAAAACUGAACUUUGGUAAGAUUACUUUCAGUGUGGGCUGAUAACCAGGACUAGUCCUCCCUUGGCCCUGGAGUAAUUACACUAAAGAUGUUAGGCUCCUCCUAGCUAGAACCCACAUGACCACUCCUGGAGGGGUUAUCUUGGUAUAUUUAGAAGCUAGCAAAGGAUUUCUUAGAAUGAUUGAAUCCAAAAUAUGUAAUGCAAACCAUUUAUUGUUACUAUUAUCUCAGAAUGCUUAAUGCUGCAAGUAUGCUGAUUAGCUGGCUUAAGCAAUAAAGACUUUAAUUAUCUCACAUACAAGUGGGUGAGCAGAGCUUCAACAAUGUCCUCAAAGUCCAAGACUCUUUCUAACUUUCUGCUCAUAGUAGGUGUUCAGUUUCAUCAUCAUUAUCAUUCUCACCAUCAUUACCAUCAUGGUCAUCAUCAAAAUAGGAAGUAUUUGAAGUAUGGGCUUUAGGAAUUGGGGUGCAGCAUAAAAGAGUAUCAGCGCCUCAGGUGAGAGAGUGGAUCAAGUGGAAAAGCAAGAGAAGGAAUCAUUGCAGUGUAUUGGGACACGGACUCACUGUAUCAAGAUGGUUGCUUUGUUUCUAGCACACAUUUGUAUUCAAGGCAACAAUAAGCAGAACAGGUAACAAGUGGUGACCUUAUCCCAUCUUUUGGAAGAAAAUAAAUGUAUUUUGGGCUGGGGUUGUAGCUCAGUGGUAGAGUGCUUGCCUAGCAUGAGUGAGGCACUGGGUUCAAGCCUC